Long non-coding RNA from Trachemys scripta elegans, 1116 nucleotides. RefSeq lists it as uncharacterized. NCBI's taxonomy places the organism in Eukaryota, Metazoa, Chordata, Testudines, Emydidae. The record is from RefSeq and is a predicted model, not a curated record. The transcript has 3 exons.
GAAGUCCCCGCCUAUCAGCUGUUUCCCCUGUGGCUGCUGAAGCUCCCAGGGGGCUCCCACCUCCCACUGCAGACAGUUUUAUACUGCCACCCAUCGACACAGUAUCUGAAUGCCUUCCACAUAAAACAAUAGCAAAAGCAAGAUCCCUAGUGGACUUCAUGGACUCUCUGGCACUUCUCCUUUUACAGGAUCAGAACUCUGCAUGGGAGCCUCCUUGUGCCUUCCUAGGUGAGCUAAACACCGAGCCUGGCCCUCUUGGACAUCUCUUCUCAUUGCAACGUUACUGGAAGGUAACAGCAGCAAGCAGCUCGAGUACUCAUACAGGGCUUUCUAGUAGGAUGUUUGCAAAAAUAAAAGUUAAAAUGAAAAGCAACAGGAUAUAGGACUAAGCAGAACUAAACGAAAAAGAUCAAAAGCUAUAACUUGAAUAUGCACCAAAAUUACAGCUAUAAUCUGAGUGGAUAGGAAUUUGAAGAUCAAAUUAACAACUUAUUUUGUUUAAGGUGACCUGCCAAGUACUUUGAAAAAAAUGGGCAUGAGCUGUUUUUUUGGAGGGGGUGUGGAGGGAAACGGUGAACAUCUUUAUUAUGUAUAAAUAUUAAUAAGGAUGAUGAAUAUAAAAAGUGUUAAACCCAAGCCUUCAGACUGAUGAACAAUCUCAACUAUCACUGACGUAAAUGAGGUAUCAGAAAACAUCUGGAAAAAUCUGUUCUAUAACUCAGCUGAUAAGUCAAUCCUUACAAAAUAUAUUUGAUUCCAGAAACCAUUUUUCAUUUGGAUCCAGUCUGUUUUAAGUGGAACCUGCUAUAUUUCAAGUUUUGAGCCUUAUCUGCUUGAGGUUCCCCUUAAGAACUACAGGACAUAAACAUUCAAGCUGUCGAUGCAGAAAGCUUCAAUUAUCCAAGACCUCAAUCUGACUUAUAUCCCCGUUUCGCAGAAAGUACUGGAACCAUGAAAAUACCUGAAACUCUUGUUGUCUGUAUGCCAAAUCACCUCUGAAUUUUUUGGCAGUUAGAAUUUCAACAUCGUCCUCACUGUUUGCAUCCUCACAAAACCACUGUAAACACAAAGGAAAAUAUUCAAGUGUAUUGUGGAAAUUGAAGUUAUGAUUUUCAA